This 1195-nucleotide long non-coding RNA is filed under the name Sinocyclocheilus grahami. RNAcentral's name for it is "lncRNA (ENSSGRG00000012865.1)". The record is from RNAcentral. Lineage: Eukaryota; Metazoa; Chordata; Actinopteri; Cypriniformes; Cyprinidae.
CAGACUCCAUCCUCUGAGGCUCCUCUACAACUGGACUCUGAAUGGAGAUCCACUGAUGGAUGGAAACAGCAGCAUUGAUCUGGAUGAGGGGAUGAGGGGAGACAUCAGCUGCAGCGUGAAGAACCACGUCAGUCACGCACAGAACACCAUUAGACUCAAACCCUGUGCUGGUGAGAUCAGUUCUGUUCAUCUACAGAUAUCAACUACACAGACUGAUUGAUUGAUUGAUUGAUGUGUUUGUGUUGUUCAGUGUGUUCAGUGUCUGUGGUGUUUGUGCUGGUCUGGUGUCUUCAGCUGAUGGUUCUGUUGGGUCUGUUAGGAGGUUUUCACAUCUACAUGAGACACACGUCAGGAAAGAAGCAGGAAGAUCAGAAAGUGAGGAUGAGAAGAUUUAGAGAAGCACCUGAACACACAGCAGAAGAUUCAUGAGAGCAGCAGCAGAUCAUCACAUCUAUGAGAAAUAACUUCAUAAUCUCACCGAUUCUCACAUCAAUCCAGCUUUGACCUGUCGACAGCAGAUCUUAUAAUAUAAACCCAAGAGAUUAAUUGAAACCAGGAGGUAUGAAUUAAACCAGACUUUCUACAGUUUUAGUUAUGACGAUUAUUUUCUGGACAUUUGUCUUUUGUAACAGUUUUAUUGCUUAUAUUACUUAUUUAUCUGCACACUUUGAAAGUACUAUAAGUUAAUUUAUUUCAUUACAUGAAACCCCUUCUGAUCAUCACUGAUAAAACUUGUAUUUCUCUGAAUCAGAUCUGUCACAUUGUGUUUAUUGUCAUAUGCUCUUUUACUUUAUUCUGUUGUUCUGGUUGAUUUUUUUUCAUUUACAGUGUCUGUUUAGAUGUUUUUUAGUGUCUGUUGUUUUGCUGUCAGUGGUUUGGUUUUGCUUGAAUUUGCAGUUGAGUUUUAACAUAUAAAACCACAUUCAUGCAUUAUUCUUCACGAGAUAUUUGCAUCAUUAUAGAACAUUGCUAAACAUGCCCUUCUUUAGACGGUGUAAAUGGGGUCAUUGCUGAAUUAGUUUGAGUUAAAUGUGAAAAUAAAACACUUUGAAAUGAAACAGUAUUUGCAGUCAAAAGUCGCAAACUCAUACAAUGUUUAUAUUUUAACAGUCAAUUAACAUUUUAUCCAACAGAAAACACACAUCAAUAAAUUGAAACAUAAGAAAACGUGUGUAUAAAAACAAUAAAUCCAGAC